This 2401-nucleotide long non-coding RNA is filed under the name Capsicum annuum. RNAcentral describes it as "long non-coding RNA (CANN_LNC007979)". Lineage: Eukaryota; Viridiplantae; Streptophyta; Magnoliopsida; Solanales; Solanaceae. The record is from RNAcentral.
CUACACCAACCAUGGAAAUUUUACUCCAUUUUCGCAUUUUGUCCACAUCAAUCACGUGGAGAGUUGAAUAAACCAAGCUCCAAUGUUUAUAUUUCAAACGUUCAAAUUUGAAGGACAAUUCCCGCUCAAGAAAACAACCCUAGUAUUCUUUAUAAAUACUUGCGUUUGGAGCCCAUUUCGGAGGAUUUUCUUGGCAGCCACUGCUCCCAUAACUCUUGCAGUUGUUAUUGUUCUUCCUUGCUAAAAAAAGCUAAGGAAGAAAGCCACGAGUUCUAAAUUAGGAUACAUAGCAAGGAACUCCUUUUUUCAAACGUCUUUUAAUCGUUCUCUGAGUUUCAAAAUUUUUUUGUGCGAUUUGGGUUCAAAAUCUGUAAGUUUGAGUAUGGAUUCGAGAUCUGAACGUCCCCGUUCACUGCCCCACAGCAGGUGACUUAUCUCUCUCUUUAUCUAUUUAUCGUUCUAUUUUUUGGCAUUGUUAAUGUACUACUAUUCUUAAUUCUAAACCAAUUUCUUGCCAGUAACCCCAUUUAGUCAUUUGUAGUUGUAAGUGAUGCAAACAUAUAUUGUGACCUCGCUGUAGCAAUCUUUGUUGUUUUCGAUAAAUUGUGAACAUGAAAGAUUUUUUUCGUUGGUUUUGUUUACUAUAUGGAAACGUUGGUAUAAGUUUUUAAAGAAAAAUGCCGGUUAUCUUGCUUGUUUUAGUUCUCUUCUUCCCUUUUUAAAAUAAAGAACUUCAUGCAACUGUACCUUUUCUCCCAUAAAGAAUAUAGGGCCAUAAUCACAUUUCUUUUAUUUCCCUGUGUGCAAAAUGUGAGCUUUAAGUUUCUUUUCCAACCUACUUGGCUGUGCGCAUAAGUUGUCCUCCUGAUGAAUAUUAAGUAAUCAAAUUCAAGGAAUUGUCUUGUUAAUUUCGUCAUAUAAAGUGGAGUCUAGAGAGGAUAUAGUAUGUGAGACCUCACACUUAGCGAGGCCCUUUCGGAGGAUUUAACAUUUAGCGUGAUAUCUUAUGUCGUGAUUCCCAUUCUAUGUCUUUGAUGGAAGUGGAUUGUGAAAACAUUACCUUGUUUUCUUAUUUCAUAUCGUUAUCUGUCCAUAUCUCUGCUCCUUAGAUUUCGUAUGGCAAGCAUACUUUAGUUUGUUGGCGUAACAACUUAUUAAAGCAUUUUCAGUAAUUUGUUUAUAGAUUUUUUUUUUUCUGAAGCUGUUUCCGUUGGAAUUUUUGCGAAGAACUAGUUUUACUUGUAAUGUAUUGUCGAAAGCGUAAAUGGUGUUGUGGACGAAUCGGCUGAACCUAUUAAAAUAGUGACUGCCAUUUUUUUCAUGUAACAGUGCACUUGGAAAUGUAAUAAUAUUUCAUAUGAGGUAUUAGAAGUUUACUAGCCAUGCUUAAGGUGAUAUUAUUUAUUUAGUGUCAAAGUUAGCCGCCCCCAUGAUUAAAUAAUUUUUUCUUCCUCCUAAUCAUUUUUUAGAUUAGAUACUUACACGAAAAUAGUUUCAUUUUGGAUUAACUAAUGAUCAUUUUCGUAUCUUUAUAGGGUGAGAUGUGAUAGCUCAUAUUCUAAGUUGAUGGGUUUACCGUGACCUUAUCUAUUUGGAAAUUAAUUUAUGCCUCAAGGGCAUGUAGCGUAAUGAUUUAGUUGAUUUAAUUAGGCUGGAAGUCGUGCACCGGGCUGCCCUUUUAAUUAGGCUGGAAGUCAUCUCCUUUGAUAUUUGCAUGUCUUGUAUUUGGGUACUGUGAUGCAUCGUUCCAUUUUUUGGAGAAUUGUAUUUAUCGUUCUAUUUCUUCUCGGUCUACAUAGUUCAAAUUGUCUUACUAAUUUCAUCGCUUUUCUUCACUUGCAUGAACACUUCGGGAGCAAACAAUCUUGGAGUCUCAAGGCUAGACUCUUGUACCGCCUGGAGUCUCAGAACGAGACCAACAUUAUCUUUCAUUCUAGCAAGGAGUCAUAUUUCAUAUUCUUAAGUCGAACCGGCUAGUAGUUUAGUGCUUCUUUCCCUCUUUUCAAGCUUUAUCCUUCCAUAGACACUUAUUAUUUUGUUUAAAUUUCACGUAUUGUUAUCUAAAAUUUGUGUUUUAUAUAUUGUUAUUUGGAUUAAUGUGAAUUCUUAAAUAUGAUAGCGAAUUCAUUUGUUCCCUUUUUGCCCCUCUUAGAUUUCAAAGUUAGCAUAUCAGUAGACCUAGAUAUUUAAUUUAUAUUUUUGGAAGUUUUAAAAUUUGAUAGAUCAAAACAUGCCUUUUAGAAUAAUUGGCCUUAUUUUUAGAAUAAAAAUUAGUUUCUCAUUAGUUACUAAUGUCAAAUUAAUAAAAAUAAUUUUUUGCGGUAGGGUAAAUAUUAUAGCUAGAUUCGGAAGAUCGGCUUUACUAAUUUUAGAUACGGUAGAUCAAAUUUUAUUCUUUUUU